UUGGCAAGUCCUCUUGGAACUGGGGAAUCCUUUGUGUUGAUUGUAAAGACUUUUACAUGGCGUAUCAUAGAAUUCCCCCGUACCGAGUGGUCUUGUAAA
This 99-nucleotide microRNA precursor is filed under the name Branchiostoma belcheri (Belcher's lancelet). Its description in RNAcentral is "microRNA bbe-mir-182d precursor". Its record names the gene bbe-mir-182d. The record is from miRBase by way of RNAcentral. Lineage: Eukaryota; Metazoa; Chordata; Leptocardii; Amphioxiformes; Branchiostomatidae.